Molecule: ribosomal RNA, 118 nt
Organism: Chelonoidis abingdonii (Abingdon island giant tortoise)
Lineage: Eukaryota; Metazoa; Chordata; Testudines; Testudinidae
Source: Ensembl
ACCUGCAGCCAUUAGCAUCAUGCGCUAUGACCUUUUCAGCUCUCCUAAGUUAAGCAGAGUCAUCCUUUGCUGGUACGUGGAUGGGAGACCUCCAAAGAGAACCCAAAUGCUGGAGAAA